Cucumis melo (muskmelon) is the source of this 483-nucleotide long non-coding RNA. RefSeq lists it as uncharacterized. The transcript is spliced from 2 exons. NCBI's taxonomy places the organism in Eukaryota, Viridiplantae, Streptophyta, Magnoliopsida, Cucurbitales, Cucurbitaceae. The record is from RefSeq and is a predicted model, not a curated record.
GAAAGAAAAUAAGCAAAAAGAACUACAAAAUAAACCCUUUAAAUUAAUUAUGGCUGCAAAGUUCUCUCUCAAGUUCGCUUUCUUGGCCGCAAUGGUUUUGUUUGUUGCUUUAUUUGGUUCAGUGGCAAGCAUACCAUUAGGUGAAAAAGCAGGCUAUACUAUACAAAGUGAAUGCAGGACUGCAGCUGAUUGUGCUAGAAAUUGUUUUUGUGAUUCUGGUAUCUGCUUUUGCAGAGAGAAGUUGUUUAACACCAACACUGAUAAGAAGAUGAGUUACAAAGGAGAUCCAAAUUAAUGUACCUCUAAAGACCAAUAAUCAAUUAAUAGUUAAGCAUAUAUUAUUUACAACUUGAUGGUUGGGAUGAUAUGAUGUUAUAGAUUUUAAAAAUUCAAUAAACUAGUUGGUACGUAUAUAUGCCAACACUAUUCCUUCUGGAGUUUAUAAAAGUUCAAAGGAAUAAGAUUAUGUCACAGUUUGGAGUA